CAUGCAGGCGGUCAGGCGCGUUUUGUGUGACAGCGGAUGGCUUAACUAUCCGAGGAUACGAAAGACGGCGUGACUUGAGAGCGCGAGAGGGACACGGAAUUCCGGGUGGAGUGGUGAAAUGCGUAGAGAUCCGGAGGAACACCGCAGGCGAAGGCAGUGUCCUGGCUGGUACCUGACGCUGAGGUGCGAAAGCCAGGGGAGCGAACG
Molecule: ribosomal RNA, 207 nt
Filed under: uncultured bacterium
Lineage: Bacteria
Description: partial 16S ribosomal RNA
Rfam family: Bacterial small subunit ribosomal RNA
Source: RNAcentral